AUGCUGCUGAGCAUCCUUUGUUACAAAGAUGAAAAGGUAUCAUUUGGACAAAGGAUACUGAUGUUUAUUUUUGGAAUAGGCUUUCUUCUGAGAGAAGAGUUGCUUGAAAUCAUGCAGAUGUAUUUUAAGAAUGUACUCAAGAGAGGCACCCAAGAAGACAUUUUUGUAUGGAGAUGGGCAGAAAAUGAAGUGAGACUUGAACUUGGAGAGAAAACAAUGUCCUUUUCUUUUGAAGAGGAUCAGGAAGCUGAAAGAAGGAUUCCUGACAGUCAGGCUAAGCUGGACACCUCUAUGGAAACCUGCCAGGAGCUCUUCAAGAAUAAUGAAGUAGAGCCUAGAACCAUGGACUUUAAGAAUAGAUAAUAGCAGUUAUAAACUACUUUUUCUUUCUAUUUCCAUGUUCUCUAAGUUUUCCAAAUCUUAAAUCUUAUUAGAAGGUGCAGUCCUAUCUCUUUUGUGUUAUGGAAGAUAAGAGAACAUAAUGUCUCCUUCCAUCCAUUAAAGGUCAUUGAGGAGCAUUAAGAUGAUUACUUUUGGCUCCAAAUCCCAACUUCGUGUCUAUAUCACAAAGUUUGGCAGCAUGGAAGGCAGUAUCAGAGGGGAAAAAACUUGAGUUUAAUUUUUUUUUUUUUCUGGAAAAAACUGAGGCAGUUCCCAAGAAGUUAACAGAAAUAGCUGGGAAGCCAGUUUCUGAAAUUCAGGCGGCUCGGGACCUUGACAAAAUAAUUUGAUGGAAAACAGAUACACAAAGUCAUUCUAUAGACAUAGGAUAGUGAAGUUCAAGGACAAACAGCAUUAUUACACAGAAUCUAUUGUCUGAAGACAAUAGAUUUUUUUUUGGAAUUUUUUUGUAAUUCUGAAGCAUCCACUCUGUUAACUGUUCUUUUAGCUUCUUUGGCAUAGGGGAUGAACUAGAAAUCUUCCCUUGGCUUAGAGUAUAUAUUUAUUUCUAUAAGGGCGGAUUCAGAGAGCUUUUCCUUGUACCACUUUCUCCUUCACAAAGAUGUAUUUGGAAACCUCCCUGAGAAUUGGCAACAGUUCUUACGUUUCCUAAAAAUGUUCAAACUAUUGAACAUUCAAACUCACAUGCAAAUUUCCUCUUGGGGACAGUACUAGAAACCACAGAUUAUCUAGGAAAAAAUAAAUAACUCUAAAUUGAAAUUCCACUUAAUGGUAUCAUAAACACAAAACACACUAAACCAUUUACUAGAAUUAUUUUAAAAACUUAUUAGAAUUAUUUUAAUGGUAAUUUUUAAACAUUGGGGUACAGGUGUCCCUUUGAAUCACUGCAUUUGUAUCUUUGGGGUGAAUACCUAAUAGUCUAAUUGCUGGGUUGUUUCAUUCAUAUGUGUAAUACAAGAAACAGCACAGGGGAUCAUAGGGAAAGGGAGGGAAAAUUGAAUGGGAAGUCAUUAAAGAGGAAAAAAAACCAUGAGAGACUCUUAACUAUAGGAAACAAACAGGAUUGUUGGAGAGGAGGUGGGUGGAGGAAUGGGGUAGCUGGGUGAUGGGCAUUAAGGAGGGCACGUGAUAUCAUAAGCACUGGAUGUUAUAUACAACUGAUGAAUUAUUGAACACUACAUCUGAAACUGAUGAUGUACUAUAAGCUGGCUAACUGAAUUUAAAUAAAAAAAUAAAAGUAAUUUUUCAAGUUUUAAAUUCAGAAUCAUAACUGAGCCAUCAUUUUAUUUAAUUCUUCUAAAUGUAUUAGAUGUAUGCAAUGUUUAAGAUAUUUUGUAAAGGGGCGCCUGGAACCUCACCGCUCAUGUGCCUGAGUGUUUGUGGCCAUUUCUGUGUCUGGGCACGUGUUUGAACGUGGGGUGCGUGGCUCUGCAGGUGGCCCUGUGCUUUAUCCAUAUGACAUCGGUGCGUGCGUGUCUGUGGAUGCGGAGGGGCUUCUGGGUUCUCUAUUCUGUUCCAUUGAUCUAUGAGUCUGUUGCUCAGUGGUUGAGCAUCUGCCUUUUGGCUUAGGUCAUGAUCCCAGGUCCUGGGAUCGAAUCCUGCAUUAGGCUCCUCUCAGGGAGUCUGCUUCCCCACCUGCCUAUGUGUCUGCCUCUUUAUGUAUCUCAUGAAUAAAUAAAUAUAAUCUUAAAAAAGACAUUUUGUAAAAAGUUAUAUAUAGGAUCAUCAUGUCCCAAUACUACAUACAUAUGCAAAUGUGAGAAUUGCCAAAAUUCAGUUCUAGAAAAUUAAAUUAAUAUUAAAUUAAUAAUAAAAAUCAGAUUAAUAAAUCCAUCACAAAAUUGUCUUCAUUUACCAUUUCUCUUUCAUUGAGAAAUGUCACGAUGG
This 2289-nucleotide long non-coding RNA is filed under the name Canis lupus familiaris (dog). RNAcentral's name for it is "lncRNA (ENSCAFG00040022132.1)". The record is from RNAcentral. Lineage: Eukaryota; Metazoa; Chordata; Mammalia; Carnivora; Canidae.